This 213-nucleotide unclassified non-coding RNA is filed under the name soil metagenome. RNAcentral describes it as "partial contains 5.8S ribosomal RNA, internal transcribed spacer 2, and large subunit ribosomal RNA". The record is from RNAcentral.
AACAAGGCGUACCUGCGGACCUGCGGAGGGAUCAUUACCGAGUUUACAACUCCCAAACCCAUGUGAACAUACCUAUCGUUGCUUCGGCGGAUCGCCCCGGGCGCCUUGCGUGCCCCGGAUCCAGGCGGCCGCCGGGGGACCUUAACUCUUGUUUUUACUGAGAAUCUUCUGAGUCGUUUUUACAAAUAAAUAAAAACUUUCAGCAAUGGAUCU